CAGAUUGAACGCUGGCGGCAGGCCUAACACAUGCAAGUCGAACGGCAGCACAGAAGAGCUUGCUCUUUGGGUGGCGAGUGGCGGACGGGUGAGUAAUGUCUGGGAAACUGCCCGAUGGAGGGGGAUAACUACUGGAAACGGUAGCUAAUACCGCAUAACGUCGCAAGACCAAAGUGGGGGACCUUCGGGCCUCACACCAUCGGAUGUGCCCAGAUGGGAUUAGCUAGUAGGUGGGGUAAUGGCUCACCUAGGCGACGAUCCCUAGCUGGUCUGAGAGGAUGACCAGCCACACUGGAACUGAGACACGGUCCAGACUCCUACGGGAGGCAGCAGUGGGGAAUAUUGCACAAUGGGCGCAAGCCUGAUGCAGCCAUGCCGCGUGUAUGAAGAAGGCCUUCGGGUUGUAAAGUACUUUCAGCGGGGAGGAAGGCGGUGAGGUUAAUAACCUCGCCGAUUGACGUUACCCGCAGAAGAAGCACCGGCUAACUCCGUGCCAGCAGCCGCGGUAAUACGGAGGGUGCAAGCGUUAAUCGGAAUUACUGGGCGUAAAGCGCACGCAGGCGGUCUGUUAAGUCAGAUGUGAAAUCCCCGGGCUUAACCUGGGAACUGCAUUUGAAACUGGCAGGCUUGAGUCUCGUAGAGGGGGGUAGAAUUCCAGGUGUAGCGGUGAAAUGCGUAGAGAUCUGGAGGAAUACCGGUGGCGAAGGC
Molecule: ribosomal RNA, 708 nt
Filed under: Pantoea dispersa
Lineage: Bacteria; Pseudomonadati; Pseudomonadota; Gammaproteobacteria; Enterobacterales; Erwiniaceae
Description: bacterial SSU rRNA
Rfam family: Bacterial small subunit ribosomal RNA
Source: RNAcentral